CCAGCUACGCUUUCACAGUGGGAAAGCUGAAGCCUGGCCACAGACUGCUGUCUGGCUCUGAGCUCUGAGCUGUCCCAGACAAUGAGACAGGUCAGAGCCAGCACCCUCCAUGGUUCCCUGCUGUGAGCAUUGUCUGGUUACAGGCCUGAAUGAGGGGCAAGUGGAGUGUCAGGACUGGAUUCAAGGCUUGUGGCAGCCAGCAAGUGAUCCUUAUCAAGACCCAAGAGUUCAGAGCUACAGUGGCCCCAUAGCACAAAGGAGAACAAAGGUUCUCAACAUCUUAGUCUGAGAGGCAUCAGUCAGAAAAGGGAUUCUGAUGCCUGGCAAUGGCUGAGGAAUGGAGCCGUAGGCAGUAAAAGGUUCAACCACCAGGAGUCGCUGCUGCACCGGAAGCCAGUCUUCGCUGCGCCUGCGCGGACGCGGGCACGCGGCGUUCUCCAGCCCGGCGAGUGCGCGCCCUCCACACCAAGUGCGCCUGCGCGGAGCCUGUAGUAUUUUCCCCCUUCUCGCGCCGGGCGCUCGUCAAUCGCCGGCGGCCAUGGGGGAGGCCGAGGUGGGCGGCACGGGCGCCCCAGGCGACAAGGGCCCAGGCGAGGCAGCCCCGAGCCCUGCUGAGGAGACGGUGGUGUGGAGCCCUGAGGUGGAAGUGUGCCUCUUCCACGCCAUGCUGGGCCACAAGCCUGUCGGGGUGAAUCGGCACUUCCACAUGAUUUGUAUCCGAGACAAGUUCAGCCAGAAUAUUGGGCGCCAGGUUCCAUCCAAGGUGAUCUGGGACCAUCUGAGCACUAUGUACGACAUGCAGGCACUGCACGAGUCUGAGAUUCUUCCAUUCCCAAAUCCAGAGAGGAACUUUGUCCUUCCAGAUGAGAUCAUUCAGGAAGUCCGAGAAGGUGAGACUCGGCCACCACCAGGGCUGGGAAUAAAAAAAGCCUCACCAGGCCAAAGGUGGGGCGGUCUGGGGCCUCCAGGGAGGUGUAAGGAUCCUGCUCAGACCAUACCUCCAGUGGCACCUGGGAGGUUUUGGGAGCCAAGGGCUGGGGAGAGCGGUGCUCAAAGGCAGUCUCCUGAUGGAUGCCGUCUCGUGAUGGACGCCGAGGCCUGUGUGGGCAGCGAGAAUCGGAAGCAGUCAUGGCCAGACCGUCCCCCAGCGCUGGCCACCACCGUGGGUUUCCAGUGAACGGCAGCUGUCUCCUCCACAGGAAAAGUGGUCAUUGAAGAAGAAAUGAAGGAGGAGAUGAAGGAGGAUGUGGACCCCCACAGUGGGGCUGAUGAUGUUUUUUCAUCUUCAGGGAGCUUGGGGAAAGCAUUAGAAAAAUCCAGCAAAGACAAAGAGAAGAACUCCUCAGACUUGGGGUGCAAAGAAGGGGCAGACAAGCGGAAGCGCAGCCGGGUCACUGACAAGGUCCUGACUGCCAACAGCAAUCCCUCCAGCCCCAGUGCUGCCAAGAGGCGCCGCACAUAGACACCUCAUCCUCAGGUGGCCACAGAGAUGCUCCAACUGCCUGUCUCCAGGUCCCUGGGUGAAUGUGGCCAUCCAGCAGAGAUGCUAGUGGGGCUUCCGCUGUGUCAUCAGACCUCCAGAGCACCUGAUUGGCCCAAAAGACCAGCAAGACCCUUGUCUACUCUGCAGAUGGUGAAGCCUUUGAGGCAGCCUCUUGCUUUCUCCUGUGGGUCCCUUGUGCCCACAGUGUGUAGAGAAGAGCAGGUGCAUGGGGCCAGGGGACCAAGAGUCAGCAAGCAAUAAGACGCCACCCUCACUGUCCUCAGGAGCCAGGCAUCCUCCCUGGGUGCCCACUCUUUGCAUCUGCUUUUCCUGUAAGACUCCACUGUGCACUGGCAUCCAGAGAAGGUGUCUUUGGAGUUCACACAGCACACACUGUGCACAGAAGGCCUCCCCAUCUGGGAAAUAGAACUGGAUAUUUUGCCUCAUUCACUUGUACUGUAAUAGUGUAUAUAACUUAGUUGGUAUUUCACUAUUUAAUUUUUAAGAAGCCUAUUUUACUAGUGUUUUGUAUGAAGAAAAAUACUGCAGAAGUUAAACCUGUGAUGUGUUUUUUUGAGCUGUUUUGUUUUAAGGUAACUACUGAAAUAAGUCUGGCUGUUUUUAUAUGCCAGAUACAGAGAAUUUUUAGCGGUUAUUUUUGUAAUUUUAGUAACUUGGAAAAGACCAAAAAAGGGAGUGGAACAAAGGAACCGCCAUUAGACUGAAAAAACAAUGGCCUGAUGGUUGAAGUACAUUUUCAUUUGCAGAAUAUUAAAGCACUAAAAAAAAAAAAAA
Mus musculus (house mouse) is the source of this 2278-nucleotide RNA transcript. It is a transcript of the gene named MRG/MORF4L binding protein, with no coding region annotated. NCBI's taxonomy places the organism in Eukaryota, Metazoa, Chordata, Mammalia, Rodentia, Muridae. The transcript is spliced from 5 exons. The record is from RefSeq and is marked validated.